AUGUGGUUCUUCAUCUUCAGCCUCCGUCUGUUCUGUUUGCAGGUUCUCUACUGUCUGUGUUUCCUCCAUCUCACUCUGGUUUUCUCCUCUCUUUUCUCUAAACUGUUCUCUGUCUGUUUCUAUUGUCUCAUUGUCUGUUUCUUUGCUCCUACUGUUGUUUUCUCUCCUCUGUGGUUUUUUAUCCACGUUUUCUGUUUGCAGGUUCUUUACUGUCUGUGUUUUCUUCAUCUCAUUCUGGUUUUCCACCGUCUGUGUUGUUACCCGUUCUGGUUCCAUCAGAGGUUCCUUCUCUGGUUCAUUAGCUCCAGACCUGUUCUGUGUCUCUUCAUCCUGCUGCUUCUUUCCUGUGAGCAGAAACAGACGUCAGUGUUUGACACAGAUGAAGCUGAAGCUUCAGACGUGAUGGAGGUUUUACUGCUCUUAUUUAAUGCAGAUGAACUAACAGGGUUUUGUCGCCCUUCACUUGCUGUGGAUUCACAGACGUUUACAGUAAAUCCUCAGAUCAGAGUUUGUGUUCUACACUAUGCUAGUGAGCACAUAAUGAUCACAGACUCCAGAACUUUAACUAGUGCUGUGAUAUUAAAUAAGACUAAAGAUGUUAAUAAUUUAGUGACUCACCAUGUUUGUUCUUCCUUCGUUUCCACACAACCAGAGCAGCAACAGCAGCAAGAAGAACCACGAUACAGAGAAUCAAACCCACGACGACAAGAACAGAUGAACCAGAACUGGAUCUAGAAUCAGUCUGACCCGGGAAGAUGUUGCCUGAUGAAGGGUCACACAGAGAAACACAGUUUGUAGGAAACAGCUGGAAACAGAUGUGUAACAUGAGAUCAUUGAGGUUCUACAGCACCUGUAACUUCAAUGUGAGCCUCUGAGGUGUGGUUGAUGGAGGUCUGCUGGACUCUGCAUGUGUAUCUGCUGCUGUGUCUCUUGUCCACAGUCACUCUGCUGCUGACAGUAUAGAGGUCAUCAGAACCUCUGACUGUCUCUGUAGGUCCAGCAGAGAGGAGCUUUCCCUCAGCGUCCAGCCACAGCAGCUCAGGCUCUGGGAACCAGCCUCCACUCCUACACUCCAGCACCACCACGUCACUGGUGUUGGAGACCUCAUGGAUCACGGGUGAGGAGACAGAACCUGGAGGUCAGAUGCUGGAGGUUAAAGUUCAAACCGUAGCUUCUGAGACUGUUCCUUCACUCUGUGCUCGACCAUAAACAAACCUGACCGACCUACAACGAGCUGCACAGCAGCGUCGCUGUCCAACCCUGGAACGAAGCACCUGUAGGUUCCUGCGUCCGACGGCCUCACGUGAACCAGCCUCAGAGAAACGUCCCCGUUCCUCAGCUCGUCCGUGAGCAGCGACGUUCUUCCCUCGUAGGCCUCGUGUUUGUUCCUCAGCUCCUCGCCGUCGCGCCACACCAGGACAAACCUGCGGUCGGGGCCGGUCCUCGUCCACUCCACCGUCAUGGCAACCGCAUCCGCCGGCGGCUGCAGGCGACACGGCAGCGUGACGUCAUCACCGACGGCCGCCGCGAUUGGCUGAGAUGGACCCACGACAAGAGAGCGGCCUGGAGGAAGAGGUGUGAAUGUGGGACUGCUGCUGUGCAUCAGCAGAGACCAGUCAGUAGCGAAGGCUUCACAUUUACCUUCACACGAGUGUAAAGUCAGAGCGAAGACGACAAGAGUUUGGAAAAGCAGAUGAAAACCAUGCAGCACAAACAUCCUGGAGUCUGGAAGAAGAGUCGCAAAAAGGCAGAAACGUUUCAGGAACAUGUGUCACAAUCAGAAUGCUUUUACUGGAUUUGUUUAAAUCAGACGUUGAUUCAGGUUUGAAUAUUAGCAAACUGCUUUAACACAACAGCUUCUAUAAUGUUGAUUUAUCGUGUUUAUUCUCAGUGGCCUGACGUGGUUUGAUGCCGUUGCUUCCUUUAACUUAACUUUAAUUUAUGCCAUAUAAACUUUUUAAACAGAGAAUGGAUGAAUGUGAUGAAACACAGACGCCUCAAAAAGGCUGAAUGACGUCAUAUUUUAAUAAAAAGCAGGAUGAAGUUGAAGAUUAAAAGCUA
Betta splendens (Siamese fighting fish) is the source of this 2061-nucleotide long non-coding RNA. The record is from Ensembl. Lineage: Eukaryota; Metazoa; Chordata; Actinopteri; Anabantiformes; Osphronemidae.